AGAAAGCAAAGCCACCAAAAUUGCCCCCAGAACUGCAACUUUCCGCCAAUCAGAUGAAGGAGAGAUCAGAUUGUCAAUGAUCCCGAUGACUAGCACCGCAACUAAUGCAAGGUAAAUGUUCCUUCUGAUUUUUGAUCCAGCAUUUUCUUUGGUUAGCUCUCUAAUCUUCUCCAUUUCCUCCUUAGCUUCUGCUUUUUCUUUAGUUGUCCUUUGCCUCAGGUUCUUGAAGAACAGCCCUUCAUUCCUUUCUUUCUCAAUUUGACCUUCGAAGUCUGCUAACUUCUUCUCAUUAUUUUCUAUCUCCAGUCUGCUCAUCUCUGAGGAUUCCUGGAAGGCUUGCAUCUGACUCUCCAUGUUCUCCAUAAUCUGCUAAUCACAAAUGAAUAAGAAGUGGUAUUAUCAUCCGAAGCAAGACCCUUGUAUCUCUAUGCAUUGGAUGGGUAUAUAAGAAGGUGAACAGACCCUAGUGCCAGCUUCUUCGAGUUCUUUGAGUGCAUUUUCUCCUAUCUGAUCAAACUCAGCAUUGGCCUCUUCAGCAAAUUGAGUUAGAUAAGCUGACCUCUCAUCCAAGUAGUCAGUGAGACGGACUUUCUGAGCCUGAAGCAUGGCGAUUCUGGCAAGAAGUUCCUGCUUGCG
This 636-nucleotide long non-coding RNA is filed under the name Vitis vinifera (wine grape). RNAcentral's name for it is "long non-coding RNA (VVIN_LNC002590)". Lineage: Eukaryota; Viridiplantae; Streptophyta; Magnoliopsida; Vitales; Vitaceae. The record is from RNAcentral.